GACGCGAUGGCCGAGUGGUUAAGGCGAUUGACUCGAAUAUUGACAUCAAUUUCCCUCUGGGAGCACAGGUUCAAGUCCUGUUCGCGUCG
Exidia glandulosa HHB12029 is the source of this 89-nucleotide transfer RNA. It matches the Rfam family "tRNA". Rfam says of the family: Transfer RNA (tRNA) molecules are approximately 80 nucleotides in length. Their secondary structure includes four short double-helical elements and three loops (D, anti-codon, and T loops). NCBI's taxonomy places the organism in Eukaryota, Fungi, Basidiomycota, Agaricomycetes, Auriculariales, Exidiaceae. The record is from Rfam.